GGUCGCAUGAUGUAGUCGGUUAUCAUGUCGAUCUAAUAAGUCGAAUGUCGCCGGUUCGAACCCGGCUGUGACCA
Non-coding RNA from Schizosaccharomyces pombe (fission yeast), 74 nucleotides. Lineage: Eukaryota; Fungi; Ascomycota; Schizosaccharomycetes; Schizosaccharomycetales; Schizosaccharomycetaceae. The record is from Rfam.